This 45-nucleotide non-coding RNA is filed under the name Schistosoma haematobium. Lineage: Eukaryota; Metazoa; Platyhelminthes; Trematoda; Strigeidida; Schistosomatidae. The record is from RNAcentral.
ACUCAGCUGACGAGUACAGAACAGGACGAAACGUGCGUCCUGCAU